Molecule: non-coding RNA, 393 nt
Organism: Schizosaccharomyces pombe (fission yeast)
Lineage: Eukaryota; Fungi; Ascomycota; Schizosaccharomycetes; Schizosaccharomycetales; Schizosaccharomycetaceae
Source: the annotation of a GenBank genome assembly
UUAAUAAAAAUUUUCCCAAAUCCAAUAAUGAUACAAUUUAGUUCACUUAUUCUGUGAGUUCGCAGACGGUCUAGCUCUUGGAAGAUGUUUUUUCUCUUUCUGAGCGCGUCUUCUUCUCUUUUUCUCAAUGUAUUUAUCCAAAGCCUUUGUCCCUUCCAUAGAUUUAUAUUUAUCCAUCUGUAUUAACUUCUUUUGUUCGUUCCUUUUCAAAUAAAACGGUUUCUUCCCUUCUUUAACCCUUUCUUUUUCUUGAGCACGGAAUUCAUGCAUGACACGUUCGGCCCUUUCCUCCUCGAGAUGUCUCUCCAUCUUAGAAAGUAAAGACUUUAAAGUUUGUCGAAUACUCUCCGCCCGUUCUUGAUCUUUGCAAAUCUUCAAUUCAUCUCUUAAUUG